CGCACCGAGGGGCGCUGCAGCUCACCGUUGAACGCAAGGUGAGUCAGGCUUGGUGCGAUGGCUCGACGUAGCAACGGCGCCCAUUCACU
This 89-nucleotide non-coding RNA is filed under the name Betaproteobacteria bacterium. RNAcentral describes it as "SAH sequence". It matches the Rfam family "SAH (S-adenosyl-L-homocysteine) riboswitch aptamer". Lineage: Bacteria; Pseudomonadati; Pseudomonadota; Betaproteobacteria. The record is from RNAcentral.